This 496-nucleotide ribosomal RNA is filed under the name uncultured bacterium. RNAcentral describes it as "partial 16S ribosomal RNA". It matches the Rfam family "Bacterial small subunit ribosomal RNA", at positions 29 to 507 of the family's 1533-position model. The record is from RNAcentral.
AUGAACGCUGGCGGCGUGCCUAAUACAUGCAAGUCGAGCGGACGGACGAGAAGCUUGCUUCUCUGAUGUUAGCGGCGGACGGGUGAGUAACACGUGGACAACCUACCUAUAAGACUGGGAUAACUUCGGGAAACCGUAGCUAAUACCGGAUAAUAUUUUGAACCGCAUGGUUCAAAAGUGAAAGACGGUCUUGCUGUCACUUAUAGAUGGAUCCGCGCUGCAUUAGCUAGUUGGUAAGGUAACGGCUUACCAAGGCAACGAUGCAUAGCCGACCUGAGAGGGUGAUCGGCCACACUGGAACUGAGACACGGUCCAGACUCCUACGGGAGGCAGCAGUAGGGAAUCUUCCGCAAUGGGCGAAAGCCUGACGGAGCAACGCCGCGUGAGUGAUGAAGGUCUUCGGAUCGUAAAACUCUGUUAUUAGGGAAGAACAUAUGUGUAAGUAACUGUGCACAUCUUGACGGUACCUAAUCAGAAAGCCACGGCUAACUACGUG